This is a long non-coding RNA of Physeter macrocephalus (sperm whale), 1518 nucleotides long. RefSeq lists it as uncharacterized. The record is from RefSeq and is a predicted model, not a curated record. The transcript is spliced from 4 exons. Lineage: Eukaryota; Metazoa; Chordata; Mammalia; Artiodactyla; Physeteridae.
CCUAGUUGAUCUGCACUGUCAAGCAGCUGGCUUAAUUUCUGGAGCCACAGUUUCAUUUUGCCAUAAUUAUAUGGCUUUUUAGAAACAUUUCAUUAGUCAUCCUUGCAGCCCCAAUGUCUCCGUUUGUUAAUACUGGAAAGUGAAAGUAGAGGGUAUUUUGCUUUGGGAAAUUUGAUACAGUGAGCCAAGAGCAUUUCACAACCUGGAGCCAUCUCUUCGGGGAGAACUGAUUUUUUUUCCUGUGCUUCCAGGCCAAGAACCGACUCACAGGGCACAUCCCCUGAGCUUCCCAGGACUGUAAGGGCACGAAGCCGUAAUCCGUUCAGAAGAGUGUUUCUUUCACGGCUCCUGUUGCGGCCAAGGGGGAUGGAGAGUGGAGGGCACGUGAAGGGUCAGCUGCAAACAAAUCACACACCGAAUCUUCAGAGCUCUUACAUUUCACUCCUGGGUAUUUGUCAAAGAGAAAGAAAAACUUAUAUCCAUACAAAGACUUGUACACAAAUGUUCAUGGCAGGUUUAUUUGUAAUAGUAGAAAAGCAGAAACCAAAUUGUGGUACAUCCGUACAAUGGCGUAUGACUCAGCAAUAGGAGGGAAUGAACUAUUAAUACAUGCUAUAACAUGGAUGAAUCUGAAAAUAAUUACGCUGAGCCGAAGAAGUCAACCAAAAAAGCAUAAUUCCAAUUACGUACAAAAUUGUAGAAAACACAAACUAAUCUAUCGGGACAGAAAAGAGAUCAGUGUCCUGGAGAAAAAGAGGGGCAAGAAGAAGAGGUUACAACAGGUCACAAGACAUCCACUGGGGAAUAAGGAGCAAAAUGUGGUCUAUCCUUGCAAUGGAAUACGGUUCAGCCUUAAAAAGGAAGGACAUUCUGACACCUGCUACAACAUGGAUACACCUUGAGGCCAUUAUCCUAAGUGUGAUAAGCCAGUCACAAAAGGACAAAUACUGUGAUUCCACUUUUAUGAGGUACUAGAGUCAAAUUCAUAGAGAAAGUGGAAGAGUAGAUGCCAGGGGCUGGAGGGGCCAUGGGGAGUUAAUUGUUUAACGGGGACAGAGUUUCAGUUUGGGAAGAUGAAAAAGUUCUGUGGAUGGAUGGUGGGGGUGAUUGCACAACUAUGUGAAUGGCCCUGAAUUGUACACUUAAAAAUGGUUAAAAUGGUAAAUUUUAUGUUAUGUAUGUUUUACCGCAAUCAUCAAAGGUCAUGAGACAACUUUUGGGGUAAUGGCAGGACUGGCCACGUAAUUUGUAAAGAAAAAGGAGAAAGUGGCGUCUCUUGUUCAAAAAUCAUUAUAAAUUCAAGACUCCACAGCAGAGCACUAGACCAAGCCUGCAGGUCACAAGCUCACCAAGCCUGCCCCUGGGCUGGGUGAGUUCAUAUCCUUGACUGCGGGAUGAUUUCAUCCGGAUAUACACAAGCCCAAGCCUACCAAACAGAAACUUGAAACAUGCACCGUUUACUGUUUAUAAAUUAUACCUCAGUAAAUCUGCUUAAAAGGAGUAACAAAAAGUAUGUCU